Long non-coding RNA from Oncorhynchus keta (chum salmon), 803 nucleotides. RefSeq lists it as uncharacterized. The transcript has 4 exons. Lineage: Eukaryota; Metazoa; Chordata; Actinopteri; Salmoniformes; Salmonidae. The record is from RefSeq and is a predicted model, not a curated record.
UCCAAUGCCGCGAAUGAGGAAUCUUUGUGCUGCAGAUAAUUCGAAUAUGUGACUACAAUUCUUACAGAAAUGGAGAAACGUGAUGAUGAGUUGCAAUUAGUUUGUUUUUGAGACGACAGGGAUAUUGCUGCCCACAUAAACCCUAAUGUCCUGAAAACAUAUUUACAUGUUGGAGACAGCUGGGCCAAUUGGACAGUUCUCUACCGGUUGUCUUGAAAGCACCAUAAAUCCAGAGAAUGCCAGACUUUGAUGACAAAGUUUGAUGACAAAAUUUGCCCACAAAGGACCGCUGUGCCACCUUCCUGUUCAAGUGAGCACAUCACAACAAGCCUGAGGACUUCCCUAAGAUGGAGAUCUUGUGGCAGCUGACCUGCGCCUGGAACACAGGCAUCCUGCUUUACAGCCUGGCCGAGUACCCUGAGGGGUGGUGUGGCCUGGGCAUGAGCUUCCUCCGCUGCCUGGGCUCCCUGCAGGAGAGCUACCAUACACAGAUGUUAGAUCUGUACACAGGUCCUGGAUAGUCUGGACAAAGCCAAGAAGAACCUCCUCUUGGAGUAGUGAUUUGAGCUUUGCAGAGCUCUUUUACUGUCUGGCACCUGAUAUUAUUCAUGUGGUUGCUGGGAUGGUAGUUUACUAUAUGUCUCACUGGUUCUUGUAUGACUGGUCUCCAGUUUAGUCAGCUCCUCCAGGAUGUCAGUUGCAUCCUGUCCUCCCCCAAUAUUUCCCUCACUUUCCCUAUGGAGAGUUCAGAUAACCGUUUCUACUUAAUGUUUUGGUACUUCUGCACAUGAAUGGACUUUAUU